ACAAUGAUACUUCUGCCGAAGGGCAGCCCGGCGAGAACCGCGGGGAGGCGAGGAGCCUAUG
This 61-nucleotide non-coding RNA is filed under the name bovine gut metagenome. Its description in RNAcentral is "pemK RNA". It matches the Rfam family "pemK RNA". The record is from RNAcentral.